AGAACGAACGCUGGCGGCGUGGAUAAGACAUGCAAGUCGAGCGCUGAUCAAAGGGUAGCAAUAUUCUUUGGUUGGAGCGGCGCAAGGGUGCGUAACACGUGGGUAAUUUGCCAUGAAGUUGGGGAUAACUUGCUGAAAGGCGAGCUAAUACCGAAUAUGGCCCGAGAGAGGCAUCUCUUUUUGGCUAAAGCUGGGGACCGCAAGGCCUGGCGCUACAUGAUAAACCCGCGGCCUAUCAGCUAGUUGGUGAGGUAACGGCCCACCAAGGCUAAGACGGGUAGCUGGUCUGAGAGGACGACCAGCCACACUGGAACUGAGACACGGUCCAGACACCUACGGGUGGCAGCAGUCGAGAAUUUUUCACAAUGGACGAAAGUCUGAUGGAGCGACGCCGCGUGGAGGAUGAAGGUUUUCGGAUUGUAAACUCCUGUCACUGCAGAACAAGGAUGCAUUUAUGAAUAGUACGUGCAUUUGAUGGUAUGA
RNAcentral lists this ribosomal RNA (483 nucleotides) under uncultured bacterium. Its description in RNAcentral is "SSU rRNA". It matches the Rfam family "Bacterial small subunit ribosomal RNA", at positions 26 to 480 of the family's 1533-position model. The record is from RNAcentral.